Molecule: small RNA, 2171 nt
Filed under: Pan troglodytes (chimpanzee)
Lineage: Eukaryota; Metazoa; Chordata; Mammalia; Primates; Hominidae
Description: retained intron
Source: RNAcentral
GACACUUAAAAAAUCAGGAGGCAUGUGGCCGGACGCAGUGGCUCAUGCCUGUAAUCCCAGCACUUUGGGAGGCCGAGGUGGGUGGAUCACGAGGUCAAGAGAUCGAGACCAUCCUGGCCAACAUGGUGAAACCCCGUCUCUACUAAAAAUACAAAAGAUUCGCCGGGCGUGGUGGCAGGGGCCUGUAGUCCCAGCUACUCAGGAGGCUGAGGCAGGAGAAUGGUGUGAACCCAGGAGGCAGAGCUUGCGGUGAGCCGAGAUUGCGCCACUGCACUCCAACCUGGGGACUGAGCGAGACUCCAUCUCAAAAAAAAAAAAACAAACAAAAAAAGGAAAUCAGGAGGCAGCCGGGUGCAGUGGCUCACGCUUGUAACCCCAACACUUUUUGGAGGCUGAGGUGAGAGUAUACUUGAGCCUGGGAGUUUGAGACCAGCCUGGGCAACAUAGGGAGAUCCUGCCUCUACAAAAAUAAUAAAAAAUAUUAGUUGGGCUUGGUGGUGUGCACCUGUGGUCUCAGCUACUCGGGAGGCUGAGGUGGGAGGAUUACCCACCUCAAGCCCGGGGGGUUGAGGCUGUAGUGAGCCAAGAUUGCACCACCGCACUCCAGCUUGGGUGACAGAGUGAGACCCUGUCUCAUAAACAAACAAAAAAAUGGAGAUAUUUUACAUAGGAAUUUAAAUAUUUGACCUCUCCUAGAAAAUCAAGUGCGUGGCAACUCUGGGCCUAUUCCCGUGUGUUCCUCAGCCAUCGCUCGGGCCAGGGCCUGGGUGCGCAGGCUGUCCCCUGCCCCGUAGGCCCCCAGCCUAGUUCAAUAGUCAAGCAUUUUGAAGAGAAUGAAUGAAAUCCAGUUCUUGACGGUCCUAAAGGAAUACUUGACGUCUAUGAAGUUGAGCAGUUUCCAGGUUUACCUGGAUUCUGGGCAAACACAGUCUGAGAAGUAGCUGGGGCUCCAGGCAGGUGCUCAGGGGGCAUCUCUGCAGGGGAACUGCCAGGCUUUCGGGAGGGCUGGCCUCACCCCCAAGGCCUCACUGCCAUGCUUGUCUUGGCAGAAUCACCUCCACUGUGGCCUGCGACAUGGACCUGGCCAAAUACCCCAUGGACGAGCAGGAGUGCAUGCUGGACCUGGAGAGCUACGGUUACUCAUCGGAGGACAUUGUCUACUACUGGUCGGAGAGCCAGGAGCACAUCCACGGGCUGGACAAGCUGCAGCUGGCGCAGUUCACCAUCACCAGCUACCGCUUCACCACGGAGCUGAUGAACUUCAAGUCCGCUGGCCAGUUCCCACGGCUCAGCCUGCACUUCCACCUGCGGAGGAACCGCGGCGUGUACAUCAUCCAGUCCUACAUGCCCUCCGUCCUGCUGGUCGCCAUGUCCUGGGUCUCCUUCUGGAUCAGCCAGGCGGCGGUGCCCGCCAGAGUGUCUCUAGGCAUCACCACGGUGCUGACGAUGACCACGCUCAUGGUCAGUGCCCGCUCCUCCCUGCCGCGGGCGUCAGCCAUCAAGGCACUGGACGUCUACUUCUGGAUCUGCUAUGUCUUCGUGUUUGCCGCCCUGGUGGAGUACGCCUUUGCGCAUUUCAACGCCGACUACAGGAAGAAGCAGAAGGCCAAGGUCAAGGUCUCCAGGCCGAGGGCAGAGAUGGACGUGAGGAACGCCAUUGUCCUCUUCUCCCUCUCCGCUGCCGGCGUCACGCAGGAGCUGGCCAUCUCCCGCCGGCAGCGCCGCGUCCCGGGGAACCUGAUGGGCUCCUACAGGUCGGUGGGGGUGGAGACAGGGGAGACGAAGAAGGAGGGGGCGGCCCGCUCAGGAGGCCAGGGGGGCAUCCGUGCCCGGCUCAGGCCCAUCGACGCAGACACCAUUGACAUUUACGCCCGCGCUGUGUUCCCUGCGGCAUUUGCGGCUGUCAAUGUCAUCUACUGGGCGGCGUACGCCAUGUGAGCACCGGACUCAGGCCACCCUCGCUUGUCCUGGCGCCCGGCGGCGGCUGCCCAGAAACUUCCUGGGAGAAAGAGCCCUCGGGCUGCCUUCCCCUCUGCGUGUUUCGAAGUGGGAUGACAGUCGGCCACGGAAAACAAGAGGAAGCCUCGGCCUCCCUGAGCUCUGACCCCAGCCUCACCCGAAAGGCCAGCCUGGGGCUCUCCGGCAGGCAGCCCGAGACCUGCACAGAUGAA